RNAcentral lists this unclassified non-coding RNA (338 nucleotides) under uncultured fungus. RNAcentral describes it as "partial contains small subunit ribosomal RNA, internal transcribed spacer 1, and 5.8S ribosomal RNA". The stretch from base 1 to 73 matches the Rfam family "Eukaryotic small subunit ribosomal RNA", at positions 1759 to 1831 of the family's 1831-position model. The record is from RNAcentral. Lineage: Eukaryota; Fungi.
UCAAACUUGGUCAUUUAGAGGAAGUAAAAGUCGUAACAAGGUUUCCGUAGGUGAACCUGCGGAAGGAUCAUUAAAAAAUCUUUUGAGCCGCAAGGCUCUGUUAUUUUGUGCACGGUGCAGCUGCUAUGGAUUUAUUUUGCCGUACUCACAUGUGUGCUGUAUGCGUAUGUGUGUUGUUAUAUGGCUUAAUGAAGAAAUAGUAUCUCACACCAUAAACUAAUGUUAUAUAAUUGCGCGGAAUGAAUAGCAAACAAAAUGUAAUAGUUUUGUGCGCUUUUAAUACAAAAACAACUUUCAACAGUGGAUCUCUCGGCUCUUGCAUCGAUGAAGAACGCAGC